GACGAACGCUGGCGGCGUGCUUAACACAUGCAAGUCGAACGGAAAGGCCCUGCUUUUGUGGGGUGCUCGAGUGGCGAACGGGUGAGUAACACGUGAGUAACCUGCCCUUGACUUUGGGAUAACUUCAGGAAACUGGGGCUAAUACCGGAUAGGAGCUCCUGCUGCAUGGUGGGGGUUGGAAAGUUUCGGCGGUUGGGGAUGGACUCGCGGCUUAUCAGCUUGUUGGUGGGGUAGUGGCUUACCGAGGCUUUGACGGGUAGCCGGCCUGAGAGGGUGACCGGCCACAUUGGGACUGAGAUACGGCCCAGACUCCUACGGGAGGCAGCAGUGGAGAAUAUUGCACAAUGGGCGGAAGCCUGAUGCAGCAACGCCGCGUGCGGGAUGACGGCCUUCGGGUUGUAAACCGCUUUCGCCUGUGACGAAGCGUGAGUGACGGUAAUGGGUAAAGAAGCACCGGCUAACUACGUG
RNAcentral lists this ribosomal RNA (468 nucleotides) under uncultured bacterium. RNAcentral describes it as "partial 16S ribosomal RNA". It matches the Rfam family "Bacterial small subunit ribosomal RNA", at positions 28 to 507 of the family's 1533-position model. The record is from RNAcentral.